RNAcentral lists this ribosomal RNA (440 nucleotides) under uncultured bacterium. Its description in RNAcentral is "partial 16S ribosomal RNA". It matches the Rfam family "Bacterial small subunit ribosomal RNA", at positions 338 to 795 of the family's 1533-position model. The record is from RNAcentral.
CCUACGGGUGGCAGCAGUGGGGAAUAUUGCACAAUGGGGGAAACCCUGAUGCAGCGACGCCGCGUGAGGGAAGAAGUAAUUCGGUAUGUAAAGCUCUGUCAGCAGGGAAGAAAAUGACGGUACCUGAGUAAGAAGCCCCGGCUAACUACGGGCCAGCAGCCGCGGUAAUACGUAGGGGGCAAGCGUUAUCCGGAUUUACUGGGUGUAAAGGGAGCGUAGACGGCAGUGCAAGUCUGGAGUGAAAGGCGGGGGCUCAACCCCCGGACUGCUCUGGAAACUGUACGGCUGGAGUGCAGGAGAGGUAAGUGGAAUUCCUGGUGUAGCGGUGAAAUGCGUAGAUAUUAGGCGGAACACCAGUGGCGAAGGCGGCUUACUGGACUGUAACUGACGUUGAGGCUCGAAAGCGUGGGGAGCAAACAGGAUUAGAUACCCGAGUAGUC